This 496-nucleotide ribosomal RNA is filed under the name uncultured bacterium. Its description in RNAcentral is "partial 16S ribosomal RNA". It matches the Rfam family "Bacterial small subunit ribosomal RNA", at positions 28 to 506 of the family's 1533-position model. The record is from RNAcentral.
GAUGAACGCUGGCGGCGUGCCUAAUACAUGCAAGUCGAGCGAACGGACGAGAAGCUUGCUUUUCUGAUGUUAGCGGCGGACGGGUGAGUAACACGUGGAUAACCUACCUAUAAGACUGGGAUAACUUCGGGAAACCGGAGCUAAUACCGGAUAAUAUUUUGAACCGCAUGGUUCAAAAGUGAAAGACGGUCUUGCUGUCACUUAUAGAUGGAUCCGCGCUGCAUUAGCUAGUUGGUAAGGUAACGGCUUACCAAGGCAACGAUGCAUAGCCGACCUGAGAGGGUGAUCGGCCACACUGGAACUGAGACACGGUCCAGACGCCUACGGGAGGCAGCAGUAGGGAAUCUGCCGCAAUGGGCGAAAGCCUGACGGAGCAACGCCGCGUGAGUGAUGAAGGUCUUCGGAUCGUAAAACGCUGUUAUUAGGGAAGAACAUAUGUGUAAGUAACUGUGCACAUCUUGACGGUACCUAAUCAGAAAGCCACGGCUAACUACGU